CGAAUGCUGACAUAAGUAACGAUAAAGCGGGUGAAAAGCCCGCUCGCCGGAAGACCAAGGGUUCCUGUCCAACGUUAAUCGGGGCAGGGUGAGUCGACCCCUAAGGCGAGGCCGAAAGGCGUAGUCGAUGGGAAACAGGUUAAUAUUCCUGUACUUGGUGUUACUGCGAAGGGGGGACGGAGAAGGCUAUGUUGGCCGGGCGACGGUUGUCCCGGUUUAAGCGUGUAGGCUGGUUUUCCAGGCAAAUCCGGAAAAUCAAGGCUGAGGCGUGAUGACGAGGCACUACGGUGCUGAAGCAACAAAUGCCCUGCUUCCAGGAAAAGCCUCUAAGCAUCAGGUAACAUCAAAUCGUACCCCAAACCGACACAGGUGGUCAGGUAGAGAAUACCAAGGCGCUUGAGAGAACUCGGGUGAAGGAACUAGGCAAAAUGGUGCCGUAACUUCGGGAGAAGGCACGCUGAUAUGUAGGUGAAGCGACUUGCUCGUGGAGCUGAAAUCAGUCGAAGAUACCAGCUGGCUGCAACUGUUUAUUAAAAACACAGCACUGUGCAAACACGAAAGUGGACGUAUACGGUGUGACGCCUGCCCGGUGCCGGAAGGUUAAUUGAUGGGGUCAGCGCAAGCGAAGCUCUUGA
RNAcentral lists this ribosomal RNA (635 nucleotides) under Escherichia coli. RNAcentral's name for it is "partial 23S ribosomal RNA". It matches the Rfam family "Bacterial large subunit ribosomal RNA", at positions 1291 to 1911 of the family's 2925-position model. Lineage: Bacteria; Pseudomonadati; Pseudomonadota; Gammaproteobacteria; Enterobacterales; Enterobacteriaceae. The record is from RNAcentral.